ACAGUUUAUCAGUCAAGCUGCGAUAUUUAUACAUAAAAAAAACAUGAGGAGGUUGUGAAAGUGUAUCGAACGAUAAAGUAGAACAAACGCCAUCCAGUUGCACAAACGGGAGUUUCUUCACCAGGUUUUGAUCGUAUGUUGCUGCCGUUUCGGGGUCACGUCUGGUCUUGUGACGUAAUGUAAAGUCAGACACGAGCUGCUCUGGUGUUGUCCCAGCAGGCAGGUGAGCUCCGCAUGACGAUGAUGCGGAUGGGCUUGUGGUUGGUGCCCGGUAUAGGAUCGGGAGCGUACUCUUUGCUCGGGUCUCUGCCUUGGCAGUCGUACAUCAUGCAGGAGAUGAGGAAGACGAGGAGUAGGAUCAUGUAGCUGGUGACGAGGAUGAUGAGAUUCAGGGUUACGGGGUCGAUCUCUACCUCAUCCAGCAUGAUGUUGGCUGGGAUGCAAGAUUUCACACACAUACACGACGCUUUUCUUCAACCUUUUUUUUUGCUAGCAUUUACCUGCACGUCUUGAAAGAACUGGAUUAUAAGUUAGAGCUCAAAUCUGUCUUCCUCUGUCUGUCUGUCUGUCUGUCUGUCUGUCUGUCUGUCUGUCUGUCUGUCUGUCUGUCUGUCUGUCUGUCUGUCUGUCUGUGUCUUAUGCAGUAUUUUCUGUUUUCUGUCUGUCUGUUCCACUCUUAUCAUUCAGUCUUAGCAUCUAAAUAUCUCAUACGUCCCUCUUUCUUACACUCCUCCUCUUGUCUCUCACUUGCACAUUGUACUCUCUCUCUCUCUAUCUCUCUCCGGCUCUGAGGUGAAAAUCCCUUAAUCCUCUGACCCUGACUUUGUUCAGCCAAUCAUCAAGCAGUGCCUAAGCCACCUCUUUAAUUUUUGCCUGAAAACACACACACACACACACACACACACACACACACACACACACACACACACACACACACACACACACACACACACA
This is a long non-coding RNA of Tachysurus fulvidraco (yellow catfish), 954 nucleotides long. RefSeq lists it as uncharacterized. The record is from RefSeq and is a predicted model, not a curated record. NCBI's taxonomy places the organism in Eukaryota, Metazoa, Chordata, Actinopteri, Siluriformes, Bagridae. The transcript is spliced from 2 exons.